This 340-nucleotide ribosomal RNA is filed under the name Amanita ovalispora. RNAcentral describes it as "eukaryotic LSU rRNA". It matches the Rfam family "Eukaryotic large subunit ribosomal RNA", at positions 103 to 423 of the family's 3401-position model. The record is from RNAcentral. Lineage: Eukaryota; Fungi; Basidiomycota; Agaricomycetes; Agaricales; Amanitaceae.
AAAUGCUCAAAUUUAAAAUCUGGCAGUCUACCUUUUCUUCUUUGGCUGUCCGACUUGUAAUCUACAGAAGUGGUUACCCGUGCUGGUCCGUGUAUAAGUCUCCUGGAAUGGAGCCUCAUAGAGGGUGAGAAUCCCGUCUUUGACAUGGUUCCCCAGUGCGUAGUGGUCCGCUCUCAAAGAGUCGAGUUGUUUGGGAAUGCAGCUCUAAAUGGGUGGUAAACUCCAUCUAAAGCUAAAUAUUGGCGAGAGACCGAUAGCGAACAAGUACCGUGAGGGAAAGAUGAAAAGCACUUUGGAAAGAGAGUUAAACAGUAUGUGAAAUUGUUGAAAGGGAAACACU